GACCGGGAUAACAGCAGGAAACUGCUGACAAGACCGGAUAAGGUCAUGAAGCCGCAUAGCUUAGUGAUGAAAGGAGACGCCUGCGGAGAGCCUUGCGUCCUAUUAGCUAGUUGGAGGGGUAACGGCCCACCAAGGCGAAGAUAGGUAGCCGGCCUGAGAGGGUGGACGGCCACAAGGGGACUGAGAUACGGCCCUUACUCCUACGGGAGGCAGCAGUGGGGAAUAUUGGACAAUGGGGGCAACCCUGAUCCAGCAAUUCUGUGUGCACGAAGACGGUUUUCGGAUUGUAAAGUGCUUUCAGCAGGGAAGAAGGAAGUGACGGUACCUGCAGAAGAAGCGACGGCUAAAUACGUGCCAGCAGCCGCGGUAAUACGUAUGUCGCGAGCGUUAUCCGGAAUUAUUGGGCAUAAAGGGCAUCUAGGCGGCCUUUCAAGUCAGGGGUGAAAACCUGCGGCUCAACCGCAGGCCUGCCUUUGAAACUGAUAGGCUGGAGUACCGGAGAGGUGGACGGAACUGCACGAGUAGAGGUGAAAUUCGUAGAUAUGUGCAGGAAUGCCGAUGAU
RNAcentral lists this ribosomal RNA (563 nucleotides) under uncultured bacterium. Its description in RNAcentral is "bacterial SSU rRNA". It matches the Rfam family "Bacterial small subunit ribosomal RNA", at positions 136 to 716 of the family's 1533-position model. The record is from RNAcentral.